UGGGGAAUCUUGGUCAAUGGGCGCAAGCCUGAACCAGCGAUGCCGCGUGAGUGAUGAAGGCCUUCGGGUUGUAAAGCUCUGUGGGGAGGGACGAAAGAAUCGGUUCUAACAGGACCGAAGUUGACGGUACCUCCUUAGCAAGCACCGGCUAACUCUGUGCCAGCAGCCGCGGUAAGACAGAGGGUGCAAACGUUGCUCGGAAUCACUGGGCGUAAAGGGCGUGUAGGCGGGUAGGCAAGUCGGGCGUGAAAUCCCUGAGCUCAACUCAGGAACUGCACUCGAAACUGCUUAUCUUGAGUGCCGGAGAGGAAAGCGGAAUACCUGGUGUAGAGGUGAAAUUCGUAGAUAUCAGGUGGAACACCAGUGGCGAAGGCGGCUUUCUGGACGGUAACUGACGCUGAGACGCGAAAGCGUGGGGAGCAAACAGGAUUAGAUACCCUGGUAGUCCACGCUGUAAACGAUGAGUGCUAGGUGUCGUGGGUAUUGACCCCCGGGUGCCGUAGCUAAC
This 508-nucleotide ribosomal RNA is filed under the name uncultured bacterium. RNAcentral describes it as "bacterial SSU rRNA". It matches the Rfam family "Bacterial small subunit ribosomal RNA", at positions 355 to 856 of the family's 1533-position model. The record is from RNAcentral.